RNAcentral lists this ribosomal RNA (252 nucleotides) under uncultured bacterium. Its description in RNAcentral is "partial 16S ribosomal RNA". It matches the Rfam family "Bacterial small subunit ribosomal RNA", at positions 524 to 776 of the family's 1533-position model. The record is from RNAcentral.
UACGGAGGAUGCGAGCGUUAUCCGGAUUUAUUGGGUUUAAAGGGUGCGCAGGCAGCACGGCAAGCCGGCGGUCAAAUCGCGAGGCUCAACCCCGCCCAGCCGUCGGAACUGCCGGGCUAGAGUGGGCGAGAAGUGCGCGGAAUGCGUGGUGUAGCGGUGAAAUGCAUAGAUAUCACGCAGAACUCCGAUUGCGAAGGCAGCGCACCGGCGCCCUACUGACGCUCAGGCACGAAAGCGUGGGUAUCGAACAGG